ACCCACAAAAGUUUCAACACAAAAACUUUACUCACAAAAACUUCACCCACAAAAGCUUAACCUACAAAAGCUUGACCCACAAAAGCUUCAGCCUAGUUCAAGAAUAAGCAUAUGGAAAGUUACUUCUUUAAAAGCAAAAGUAUCUCAUAUCAUCUCUUCUCCAUUUGCUUCUCCUUAUCCUUGGAGCUAUUUACGACACAAGGAGAAUGAGAACAAUCAACCGGAAGCCUAAGUCGAACCUCCGAUCCAGGUUGCUUGCUUGGAAGUCUGAUUGCUUACCUUGUUUGUUACCUCCUUCAGCAAAUCUCCUAGCUCGGCAACUUGGGGGACUCCUACUAUAAGGUUUGUAUUGCACUUGACCCAACCCGAAACUACAAGUAAGCUUCAAGUGAAAUUGAUACAUUACCUUGUGCAUCUUCAUCGGUUA
RNAcentral lists this long non-coding RNA (427 nucleotides) under Malus domestica (apple). Its description in RNAcentral is "long non-coding RNA (MDOM_LNC015561)". The record is from RNAcentral. Lineage: Eukaryota; Viridiplantae; Streptophyta; Magnoliopsida; Rosales; Rosaceae.